UACGUAGGUGGCAAGCGUUGUCCGGAUUUACUGGGCGUAAAGCGUGCGUAGGCGGUUCGUUAAGUCUGUCGUGAAAGCCCUGGGCUCAACCUGGGAAUUGCGAUGGAUACUGGCGAGCUAGAGUACGGUAGAGGAUGGUGGAAUUCCCGGUGUAGCGGUGAAAUGCGUAGAGAUCGGGAGGAACACCCGUGGCGAAGGCGGCCAUCUGGACCAGUACUGACGCUGAGGCACGAAAGCGUGGGGAGCAAACAGG
Molecule: ribosomal RNA, 253 nt
Filed under: uncultured bacterium
Lineage: Bacteria
Description: partial 16S ribosomal RNA
Rfam family: Bacterial small subunit ribosomal RNA
Source: RNAcentral